This 234-nucleotide long non-coding RNA is filed under the name Lathyrus oleraceus (garden pea). RNAcentral describes it as "Pisum sativum (pea) long non-coding RNA (PSAT_LNC028410)". Lineage: Eukaryota; Viridiplantae; Streptophyta; Magnoliopsida; Fabales; Fabaceae. The record is from RNAcentral.
GUGUCUUGAGCUCACCCAGGCCAGGGUUAAGAGCCAUGAGGUAUAAUCCUCAUUUCCCAUUUCAUCAGCUUCACCCUAACUCUCAAUGUUAGUGGUUAAGAGCUUCUGUUUACACUUGUACAACUGGCUUGUUUGUCAAGGUUGAUAUGACCCCUUGACUAAAGCCCAACUUUGUCUGAGCCUCUUGCUUGUGUAUAGAGUGUGCUAAUUGAUUGAUGUGAUUGCUUGUGUUUG